GAUGAACGCUGGCGGCGUGCUUAACACAUGCAAGUCGAACGGAAAGGCCCAAGCUUGCUUGGGUACUCGAGUGGCGAACGGGUGAGUAACACGUGGGUGAUCUGCCCUGCACUUCGGGAUAAGCCUGGGAAACUGGGUCUAAUACCGGAUAGGACCACAUUUUGGAUGGUGUGGUGGAAAGUUUUUCGGUGUGGGAUGAGCUCGCGGCCUAUCAGCUUGUUGGUGGGGUAAUGGCCUACCAAGGCGUCGACGGGUAGCCGGCCUGAGAGGGUGUACGGCCACAUUGGGACUGAGAGACGGCCCAGACUCCUACGGGAGGCAGCAGUGGGGAAGAUUGCACAAUGGGCGCAAGCCUGAUGCAGCGACGCCGCGUGGGGGAUGACGGCCUUCGGGUUGUAAACUCCGUUCGCUAGGGACGAAGCGUUAUGUGACGGUACCUGGAGAAGAAGCACCGGCUAACUACGUG
RNAcentral lists this ribosomal RNA (466 nucleotides) under uncultured bacterium. RNAcentral describes it as "partial 16S ribosomal RNA". It matches the Rfam family "Bacterial small subunit ribosomal RNA", at positions 28 to 507 of the family's 1533-position model. The record is from RNAcentral.